This is a long non-coding RNA of Oncorhynchus keta (chum salmon), 4055 nucleotides long. RefSeq lists it as uncharacterized. The transcript has 6 exons. Lineage: Eukaryota; Metazoa; Chordata; Actinopteri; Salmoniformes; Salmonidae. The record is from RefSeq and is a predicted model, not a curated record.
ACAGUCAAGAUUUGCACAUGGGUGUCCUAGAAGUCUACCAUUUUUUUAAAGCAAAGUACAUGUCUAAAGAUUACUUUUCAGUAUUGCCGGAUCCGGAGUGUUCCCACUACUUAGAAAAACCUAAUAUUGUGGCGCUGCCCCUUUUUUAUGACGCUGCUAGCAGCCACGAGUGAGUGCUAGCUAGCCAAGCACCACAACACAAGCAUACCAUACAACUACUAUUGUUCUUCCAGAGACAAAUGGAUGGGUCUGUGAACUUCUACAGAGACUUGGACCACUACAAGAAUGGCUUUGAGCAUGCUGCAGGAGACCACUGGCUGGGGUGAUGCCCUCUCCCACUACAACAUCCAGAGGUUUUCCACCUGCGACCGGGACCAGGUCAACAGCCAUGUGAACUGUGCUGAAAGUUACCUGGGAGGCGUCUAGUAGACCAAGCGCUACAGCGCUAACCCCAACUGCGUCUAUAGCCAGAAUAGUCUGCAAAAUUGCAAAUGGAUCACAACUAAGCCCCAAAAAAGAUUGUAUUUGAAAAGAACAAUAAUUUUAUACCUUGAUUACAUUAAGACACAAUCACAUAAUUAUGUCUCUUUUUUUUGUGUGUGCGAAUACUUGGGAACAGAUUUCAGUAAUUAAACAGAUUUUUUUGCUGAAUUCCUUUUUACUAAAAACCUUGGGGGGCCCAAGAAAAUCACUCACGGCUGGUUUUGGUCACCUGUUGCCACCCGCUGCUAUACUACAAUGUAUGUAGGCCUAUACUGUUUUUUGUUUUGUUUGUCUGUGAGUGAGACAGGCUUGAAAUAAAACAACUGAUGUUAUUCUAUUGAAAGCUAUGUGUUAAUAAGCCAUUCAACGUUCAUUGGCCUACAUAAGCACAUAGGUAUGUGUGUACAUGUGUGUGUUUAGGAGAGUGUGUGCUGUUUGUGGCUGCCUCCCUAUUUAGUGCAAUACUUUUGACCAAGUAGUACACUAUAUAAAGAAUAGGGUGCCAUUAAGGAUGCAAUCUGUGAGUGCAUAGUGGCAUGUAUCAACACUGUAGCCCAUGCUCUGAGUUCCUCCCAUUCCACAGAACAGGGGCUCAGCUACUGUUUGCUUGCUGAUAAUGACAGCAACUGACAGAUAGACUGACUUCCUCUCUCUCUCUGUCAUGGUGUUGUGUAAACAUAUACAUUGACCCAGAGGUCUGAAAUGCAUCUGUAGAUAAUGGGCAAAUGAGGAUCUUAGGUUACGUUAGGGAAAUAAAUGAAUGGCAAUGCAAAAUUUAAUUUUGGUGACAUUGAAAAGAAACCUUUACUGUGUCAUAGUUGCAUAUCAUAUAUUGUACGUUUCGCACAUUAGUAAUAUAUAAUACGAAAUGGGUGAUGGACAGUCACAAACUAAUACAUACCAUACAAAACGUAACAUAUCAUACUAAAUGUAGUAUCUCAGAUUUACAUACAGAAUAAUACGAAAUGCUCUGAGACCAGGUUGAAAGAGCAGGUGUUCUUAAUGUUUUGUAUACUCCUUGUAUAUCUAUAGGCCCUUUCCAGUACACGUUACACUGAUGUCAGUGACUCUUGUCGGCAGUAAGAAAGAUAUCGCCAUCUGUGCCCAUUCAACAUAGCUUAAAUGUACUUUUUGGGGUUCUCAUACGCUUACAAUUAUGUUCUCAUACGCUUACAAUUUUACCGUUGAAGUUGGACGUUUUUUUUAAAGAAUAAUGCAGCUGUUUUGCGAUGACGACACAAACAUUAUAUUAAGCAGGACAUUCAUACGAGCCUUAAAAUCCAAAAAUAAUCCAAAAGUAGUGUGAAAUGCACUCAUGUAGCAUGAGCAACAUGUAAAUCGAGGCUAUUUUUGCAGACGUUCUAUAUGAACUCCUCCUUGUUCUGCCACCAAUUUGCGCGCAUCGCCCCCGUGCGGCAAUGUUUGUAAACGCAGGAAGGGGUCUAUAGAAAAUGUAGUCUUUUGUUUUUCAACUGAAGUAACAAUAUCGACCUGCUGAUGUCAGUGUCGUGUCGUGUGCUUUUUUCUGUUGUUGCUGUAGUGUGGGCCGAAACCUAAAUUAGCUAAUUGAGGAGGAGACAGCAAUUCAAAGUCAGGACAGACAGCCCGGUCGGAAUGCGGCAGUGGCCUCUUGCAGACGGCAGCGUCCAGGGAACCUAAAAAGGGAAGGAGUCUCACAUUGGGUUCCUGGCAGCAGUAAGAAGUAGCAGGCAGGCAGGCAGCAGGCUAAAUUAGGCUGUCUCACUGACUUCCACUCCCCAGAGCCCUGUAGGCAGACCUAAGGAAGGAAGGCUGCACCAGAGGCCCUUACUGCGCUACUGUGUCUCUGAGAGUCCCUGAAGAACCUCAGUCCCUGUGAAGGAGCUAAGUGUAGGUCAGUUGUAUCUGGAUAGAGGAGUGUUGUACUUUUGAAAGGGUGUUUUGGGAUUUUCUUUGGAUGCCGAUUGAUAACGGAUGUUCACAGACCUGACUAGAGCAAGGUGGGGAUGUGCUGAGUGCUGCUCUCCUCUCAAUAUUGACUUCAGAAGGCCAGUCUGUCUCCUGUCUCUACCCCUGUGACAGAUUGACGGGCUUGGCACUGAAGGUCUGAUAUACAAAUGCACUUCUGAACAGGAACUUGGGUUUCCCGGUUCUGCCCGCCCGGACCCUGCCUGUCGUCCUGUACCUUUGCCCCACUACUCUUGAUUACUGACCUCUGCCUGACCUGACCCUGAGCCCGCCUGCUGUUCCUGUGUUUUACACCAUCUCUGGAUUAUUGACCCCUGCUUGCCUUGACUUGUCGUUUGCCUGCCCGUUUAAAGAAUACACUUUUGUUUCUUCAACACUGUCUGCACCUGGGUCAUACCUUAAAACGUGAUACUUCAAAGUAUGUGUGUGUUGUCUUUCGGUUCCAAAGUGUCUAUGUUGUUAUCAUUCAGUGUGUUUGGGUUCCAAAGGUCAUAGUUGUCAACCUUAUGGGCCCUUUUCAUUUGAGCCUGCAUGAAGUCAUCCAAGGUGAAGCCUUGUUUACUCAACCCCCUCAUCUCUCUCUCUCGCUUUCUCUCGCUCUCUCUCUCUCUUCCCUUAACCCCCCACAAACACACUCUCUUUCUCUGAAACUAUGAUGCUCAGCUCUCUGUAAAAAUACAUCCAUGUUUGCCGGGUCAUGGUGACACAUGGUGUCCUUCAGAGAUGUGAUACAGAAUGUUGCAAAGUGGUUUUGUAGCGUUGCUGAAUGUGCAUAUCGUUGCUGAAUGUGCACAACCUGUUCUAGGAAAUUGAAUUCUCUUGAGAGGGUGUAGCACUGGCCCUGCUCGGAUAAUAAGAGGGGAAACGGCCCGUGACUCAAAUCCCACCAGGCACAGAUGUCAGUUCAACGUCUAGUUUUGAUUUACUUUUGGUUGAGUUGUAAACUAAGGUGAAUUCAAUGUGAAAUCAACGAAAACUGUAAACAUGCCAUUGGAUUUAGGUGAAAAGUUUGGAGAGAAAAAAUACAAAAUUCCCUACCGUUUAUGGCUUUUUGCCAUCAAUGUGCACUUUUUGCAAAUCCAAUCAGUUUUACAUGUUGAUUCAACGUGAUCACAUAGAUUAUUGUUGUUGAAAUUACGUGGAAACAACCAGUUUUAGCCCAGUGGGAUGUAUCAAAUUCCCAUGGCAAACACAAUAGUUCCAUUAUAAACAAACACUUUUCACUAGGGCUGUCCCUGACUAAAAUACAUUUUAAAAUGUGUAUUUUUCCAUAUAUAGACACACCCGAUGUGUUUUAAUAAAAUCAACUAUAUGCUUGUCUGAUGCUGUUUGAUGAAAUAAGAUACAAAUGACUCAAGAGGGAGCAAGAGAUCAAGAUAACCAGAAGAGAAAAACCUUAACCUUAACCAACCAUUCUCCUCCCGCUCCUGCUGGCUUUCGCAGAUAAUGCCAUUACUCCUGAAGUUGUCGGUAAUAGGCUACAAGAGGAGUCGGCAAUCUUUCUCAUGUGGAAUGCCAAUUUAUCUACCAAUUUCUACCGAUCUGUGUGUCAGUUAUGGUUUUCAUAUGCACAUUUUCGUAGAACAGUUUAAUUUAAUUUCUAAUAAAGGCUUCGUGUCUCACAA